UUGUAGUGUCGUAAAAGCUCCCCUGGUCACAUGGGAUGCUACAAGCUGAAGUCGGCGCGGUUACUUGGGAAGCGAGUGUUGGUGUUGGUGUUGGUGAAGGUGCAGGGCAGACCUUUGAGUUUUAGCGGGCGCCACUCUUUCUUACAAACAUGGAGGGAGCCGACGAGUUCAUGAAGUACCGUUCCCCGCUGGUCUCGCGGUAUGCCAGCAAGGAAAUGGCGUACAACUUCAGUGACAGGAAGAAAUUUACAACCUGGAGAAAGCUGUGGAUCUACCUGGCUAAGGCUGAGAAGGCUUUGGGUCUGCCCAUCACCGACGCCCAGAUCCUGGAGAUGGAGAGCCACGAGGUGGACAUUGACUUUGCCAUGGCGGCCGAGGAGGAGCGGAAGCUCAGGCACGACGUCAUGGCCCACGUCCACACCUUCGCACACUGCUGCCCCACUGCUGCUCCCAUCAUCCACCUCGGUGCCACCUCCUGCUACGUGGGAGACAAUACUGAUCUGAUUAUGCUGCGUGACGGAUUCAACCUUCUCUUGCCUAAGCUGGCCAGAGUCAUCGACAGGCUGGCAAACUUUGCAGAGAAACACGCUGACCUUCCCACGCUCGGCUUCACACACUACCAGCCGGCCCAGUUGACCACGGUAGGAAAGCGUGCGUGUCUGUGGCUGCAGGACUUGGCCAUGGACGCGCGGAACCUGCAGCGAGCCCGCGAUGACCUGCGUUUCCGGGGGGUUAAGGGCACCACAGGCACCCAGGCCAGCUUCCUGCAGCUCUUUCAGGGGGACCAUGAUAAGGUAGAAGAACUCGACAGAAUGGUGACAGAGAUGGCUGGCUUCAAAAAAGCCUACCUGGUAACUGGACAGACAUACAGCCGUAAGGUGGACGUAGACUGUGUGGCCAGCCUGGCCAGUUUGGGAGCCUCUGUUCACAAGAUCUGUACUGACAUCCGCCUGCUCGCCAACCUGAAGGAGAUUGAGGAACCUUUUGAGAAAGAGCAGAUUGGUUCCAGUGCCAUGCCCUACAAGAGGAACCCGAUGCGUGCAGAGCGUUGCUGCAGCUUGGCCCGACAUCUGGUGGCGCUGAUGGCCGACCCGCUGCAGACGGCGUCCGUCCAGUGGCUGGAGAGGACGCUGGACGACAGCGCCAACAGGAGGAUCUCCCUGCCUGAGUCCUUCCUGACAGCUGACAUCAUCCUCAGCACUCUGCAGAACAUCACAGAGGGACUGGUGGUCUACCCUAAAGUCAUCGAGAGACACAUCCGCCAUGAGCUGCCCUUCAUGGCCACAGAGAACAUCAUCAUGGCCAUGGUGAAGGCCGGAGGAAACAGACAGGACUGCCACGAGAAGAUUCGUGUUCUGUCCCAGGAGGCAGCCGCUGUGGUCAAACAGGAGGGUGGGGAUAACGACCUGCUGGCCAGAGUCCAGCGAGACCCCUACUUCGCCCCCAUUCUGGGGCAGCUGGACUCCAUACUGGACCCUAAGACCUUUAUCGGCCGUGCUCCCCAGCAGGUGGCCAGGUUCCUGUCUGAGGAAGUCCGGCCCCUGCUGGAGCCUUACAAGGCCAAGAUGGAUGUCAAAAUCGAGCUGGAGCUCUGACGCGCACACACGCGGAGACGAUGACUUGCACACAAAUCAAAAGAAGGAGACUUCCUCGUGGAACCAAGGAUCGUAUGUUGUGCUGUUGGGUUUUACAGCCUGCUUCGCCAAUAAAGCAAAAAUGCUAAUCAAAAACUUGUGAUGUGAAUUUCUAAUCCACCACUUUAUUACUUCACUAUUAUGACCAUUGACACCAAGGCCAUAAUAUGGCAUGUGUUUCACCCGUUACUAUUUAAACCGUUUUUUAGUGGGUUUAGGCUUUGUGGUUUUGCUUUCAGUAAACGGAAAGGAAAAGAUAAACCAUCGAGGAGAGGAAACCAUGUUAGAGUUGGGAGGAAACUUGUGCAA
Etheostoma spectabile (orangethroat darter) is the source of this 1943-nucleotide RNA transcript. It is a transcript of the gene named adenylosuccinate lyase, with no coding region annotated. The transcript has 13 exons. The record is from RefSeq and is a predicted model, not a curated record. Lineage: Eukaryota; Metazoa; Chordata; Actinopteri; Perciformes; Percidae.